RNAcentral lists this ribosomal RNA (505 nucleotides) under uncultured bacterium. RNAcentral's name for it is "partial 16S ribosomal RNA". It matches the Rfam family "Bacterial small subunit ribosomal RNA", at positions 29 to 507 of the family's 1533-position model. The record is from RNAcentral.
ACGAACGCUGGCGGCGUGCUUAACACAUGCAAGUCGAACGGGCCUUGUCCCCUUUUUUUUGGGGGUGGGGUUAGUGGCGAACGGGUGAGUAACACGUGAGUAACCUGCCCCUCACUUCUGGAUAACCGCUUGAAGGGGUGGCUAAUACGGGGUGUUCUGGCCUGCUCGCAUGGGUGGGUUUGGAAAGAUUCGACCGGUUUGGUUGUUUUGGUGGGGGAUGGGCUCGCGGCCUAUCAGCUUGUUGGUGGGGUGAUGGCCUGCCAAGGCUUUGACGGGUAGCCGGCCUGAGAGGGUGGGCGGUCACACUGGGACUGAGACACGGCCCAGACUCCUACGGGAGGCAGCAGUGGGGAAUAUUGCACAAUGGGCGCAAGCCUGAUGCAGCGACGCCGCGUGAGGGAUGGAGGCCUUCGGGUUGGGAACCUCUUUCGCCAGUGAAGAAGGUCCUGCUCUUUGUGGUGGGGUUGACGGUAGCUGGGUUAAUGAAGCGCCGGCUAACUACGUG